UACGUAGGGUGCGAGCGUUAAUCGGAAUUACUGGGCGUAAAGCGUGCGUAGGCGGUUGGCAAAGUCAGCUGUGAAAGCCCCGGGCUUAACCUGGGAAUGGCGGUUGAAACUAGUCGACUCGAAUCUGGCAGAGGGGGGUGGAAUUCCACGUGUAGCAGUGAAAUGCGCAGAUAUCAGGAGGAACACCGGUGGCGAAGGCGGGUCUCUGGGUCGAUACUGACGCUGAGGAGCGAAAGCGUGGGGAGCGAACAGG
RNAcentral lists this ribosomal RNA (253 nucleotides) under uncultured bacterium. RNAcentral describes it as "partial 16S ribosomal RNA". It matches the Rfam family "Bacterial small subunit ribosomal RNA", at positions 524 to 776 of the family's 1533-position model. The record is from RNAcentral.